This is an RNA transcript of Hylaeus anthracinus, 4267 nucleotides long. It is a transcript of the gene named serine/threonine-protein kinase PRP4 homolog, with no coding region annotated. The record is from RefSeq and is a predicted model, not a curated record. NCBI's taxonomy places the organism in Eukaryota, Metazoa, Arthropoda, Insecta, Hymenoptera, Colletidae. The transcript has 15 exons.
AUCGAGCAUACAAGAUGGCGGCCCAUUAAAGAGUUCAUAUAUACGUGUAGUUGUUUUGUGCAGUGAUUCUGUAGUUUUUUUCUUAACAAUAAUUUACCAAGUAUAAGCAUGGGUACGUCAGAUCUAGAAUGUUUAGAGUCUAAGAGAGAUAUUGUUGGUAUAGAUUCUGAAUCUGACAUGUUGAACGACCAAAGAAAGAAAAAGAAAAGAAAGCAUAAGCAUCACAAGCAUAAGAAAGACAAAAUAAUUGAAAGAGAAGAUGGAAAAAUUGAUCGACAAGAACGGAAAAGACAUAAGAAACAUAAGCGACCUAAAAAGGAAAAAGAGGUCGAAAAUGGAUCUUUGGAAGAAAAACCACCUAGAACAAUUCAAAAAGAUAUUGGUGUUAAUGGCAAAGUGAAAAAUUCGUUACUAGAAGUGGUUUCUACAGAAGAAAGUGAAGAUGAAAAAUUAAUAGAUUUAGAUUCAGAUGAAGUAGACUGUACAAUCAUUGAAGAUGAUAUUGAUCUUGAGGAGUUAAUGAAACAAAAGGAACGGUUACAAGCAUGUUUAGUACAAUAUCUAUCGGAUGAAUCUGAAAAGGAGGAUAAAGAACCAGAACAAGAUGAAGUUAAAGCUACGGAAACACCUGAUGUUAUACUUGUUGAAGAUGAUAGCGAAAAUGACAAUAUACCUCCUAAGAAACGAGCUAGAAGCAAAUCUGGCAGUAGGGAACGUAAAAAAAUAACAAAACCUGAAAGACGCGUUGUAGUCGAUAUGAGCAGAGAUCGAAGAAGUCGAGAUGACCAUAAAGACAAACGAAGAGAUUCUGACAGGAGACGAGAGGAUAAAGUACGUACUAAAGAAGAAUUAAGGAGGGACGAUAAUAGGAGAGAUGACAGGCAAGUACGGAAACCAAGCGAUAGGCAUAGAGAGGAUCCUCGGAAAGAUGAUAAUAAAAGAAGGUCAGAAGAUGAAAAGCGUAAAGAUUCUAUUAAAAGAGACGAAUCACGUAAAAGAGAACAAGACAGACGAGAAGAAGAUCGACGGCGAGAUGUAGAUCAUCAUAAUAAUGCUAGAUCUCGUAAUGAUUACAAACCCGUAGAUAGGUCCGAUAAAGUUUCUGCGUCGAGACGCGACAGUCGCGAUAGAUUGGGAAGCCGAGAACGGCAAAGCAGUCGAGAUCGUCAUGCGAGUAAAGAUCGACCUGCUAGUCAUGAUCGUCGUAGCCGUGAUAGACCCUCCAGUAGAGAUCGGCAUAGUCGUGAUAAAAGGGACAGCAGAGAGCGCCAUGCUAGCAGAGAUCGGCACAGAGAUGGUCGAAGCAGUCGUGAUCGUAAUGAUCUACGAGAUCGACGUGAUAGUCGAAAUCGCGAAAGAAUUCGGGAACGCUCGAGAAGUAUAAGAAGAUCUCGUAGUCCUGUUAGAAGUAGGCUGGAUAGAGAUCGCAACGAUCGGUACAAACCCUCGAGGUCGUUGUCUCGAAGUCGAAGGGACAGGGACAAGCAUGCUAGAGACCACGAUAGAGAUAGAGAAAAGAAUGGUAAGAGGGAACGUAGCGAUAAAUAUAAAGACUCUUUAUCUGAAGGACUCAAAGUUGAACAUUCGGAAACUUCGAGUGAAGAAGAUAUCAAAGACAUUGAUAUUGAAGAAGAGGAAGAUGAGGAAGCAAUUAUAGAACGUAGAAGAAAACAAAGAGAAGAACUUCUCAAAAGGUUAGGCGGUCCAAAUGAAGAUUCAAACAUGUCUGGGGACAUAAACACUGUUCCUGCUACUCCACCUUCAGAAAGCCAAUCAAACGUAUCGCAGAAGUCAAUAGAAAUCCCAUCUAAUAAUAAUGAAUCCACAUCAGAAAGUCAUACCCCACCAUUACCUGAAAAACCAAAGUCACCGCAACCAGUUAAAAAAAGAAAGUCUAGAUUUGAAGACGCGCCAUUAGAAGAUAUUGACAAAAUUGACGAUUUAAAAACAAUAGAGAAAAUUAAACCAGACGAAAAACUUAACGCGAAAAAGUCAAACGAAUGGGAUAUGUUCGCUGAAGCAGAUAACAUUGGCGAUUUCAAUAGUCCCACUGUCGAAGGUAAGCGACAAGGUGGACCAGAUAAUCCAAGUUUAACGGACAAUUGGGAUGAUGCAGAAGGAUAUUAUAGAGUACGAGUGGGCGAAACAUUAGAUUCGCGAUAUGUCGUUUACGGAUACACGGGUCAAGGUGUAUUUAGUAAUGUUGUAAGAGCUAGAGACAGCGCUAGAGGCAAUUUGGAUGUUGCUGUAAAAAUAAUCAGGAAUAAUGAAAUAAUGCAUAGAACUGGCCUUAAGGAAUUAGAAAUUCUUAGAAAACUGAAUGAUGCAGAUCCAGAAGAUAGAUUUCAUUGUUUACGACUUUUUAGGCAUUUCUUUCACAAAAAUCAUUUAUGUAUGGUUUUUGAACCUUUAGCUAUGAAUUUAAGAGAGGUUUUAAAAAAAUAUGGGAAAGACGUUGGUUUACAUGUUAAAGCGGUAAGAUCGUAUACGCAGCAACUUUUCCUUGCUCUCAAGUUAUUAAAACGUGCAAAUAUUCUGCAUGCUGACAUCAAACCGGAUAACAUUCUAGUCAGUGAAAGCAAGUUAGUAUUGAAACUUUGCGAUUUCGGUUCCGCAUCCCAUGCUCACGAGAAUGAAAUAACACCAUACUUAGUAUCAAGAUUUUAUCGAGCACCCGAAAUUAUUCUUGGUAUACCGUAUGAUUUCGGCAUUGACAUGUGGUCCGUGGGAUGCACCAUAUAUGAAUUGUACACGGGAAAAAUAAUGUUCUCGGGCAAAACAAACAACCAAAUGUUGAAAUUCUUCAUGGACCUAAAAGGCAAAAUGCCUAAUAAACUGAUUAGGAAAGGCACAUUCAAGGACCAGCAUUUUGACACAAACUGCAAUUUCCUCUAUCAUGAAGUUGAUAAGGUCACAGAGCGGGAAAAAGUUGUCGUGAUGUCAACGUUAUCUGCCACUCGUGACCUUACCGCUGAGUUAGGUGGAAACUCCUUGCCGCCGGAACAAAAUAGAAAGGUUGGGCAACUGAAGGACCUCUUGGAGCGAACGUUGAUGUUGGACGCGGGAAAGAGAAUCACUGUGAACCAUGCCCUGGCACAUCCCUUUAUACAAGAAAAGAUCUAGGUCAAUAGAGUGCAAUAUUUUUAUAAUAAUUAUAACCAAUACGAACGAUGAAUAAGACAUUGGAGUUCACCGAUGCAUUUACCAACGAAAAAAGCGACAUAUUUGUACGACUCGGAACAAUGUAGUGUAUCAGGGCGUAAAAAUCUUUUUUGCGUGUAAAUUUUUGAAUACAAGUUUCGCUUAGAUUUGGUUUAUUUCUUCUCUUUCUCUGUGCACAGCAGCUAUAAAUAAUAAAUCAACGAUGACGCUAGAAGAAGAGGCUCGCUGAAUUACGUGGUAAUCGUAUUCUCUUCCGUGGACGAUAUGAACUGGGAAAAGUGACCGCCUCUUUCAGCACUGGCCAUCGAUACUUAGCAUAAUGGUGAUGAGUCUUCGAUUCAAAGCAACGUUAAGCGCGAGUGGACCUUUGUGGGCUUUUAACGCCGAUCCCGUUGCAAGCCCUCCCUGUGAGGAGGGGAGGCAAUGGAAGAGGUGAUGAAAUCAGUUGAUGGAAAGCAAUGAUGAAGGAAAUGGCGUGAGAUCGUCGCAGCUGCAGCUUGACAACUGUAUUAAAAUGGUGCCUAUCGCCGAAAGGAUCGCCGAAUAUUUAAUUAAAUUUAUAUCAGCAGGAAGGUUUGUUUCGUUGAAAUUAAUGAAAUCGUAAGUAUGUGAACAGGUAAGGUACAUAUGCGUGAGAAUUACAAAUUAUUACAUUAAAUUAAAACAAAAUACUUAAGUUAUAUUAAAAAUAACAUAAUCCUAAUAUUUAUGGCCUUCAGUUUUCAGAUUGCUAAAUACAAAAAUCUUAGAAAAUAAUUAGAAUACAGUGAACAAGUUUUAGAUGCAAAAAGUACUAUAAUGUGACAUGUAAUUCGAAAAGUGUAACACGGAAACAAUGAUCAGAACAAAUUACACAUAUAUUUAGCGGGAUAAUUAAGUUUAUUUCAUGUUACAUUUUAAUAUAGUAUUUUAUAUUUAGAUGUAAAGAGCAAAUCACAUUUACAGCCAUAGAAUAUCCCUUUCGUUAAUAUUUAACAUUGUUAGCAUUUUUUUUAUCAUGAAUAUGUAAUUUAUAUGAAAUUUAGAUUUAUAAUACAUCUCUUGGAUAUAUUGUCAUCUUUGUUUCAAACAUCUAUGUAAAAUAUAAGUACAUUCUUUAAAAAUU